GCUGUGGCGGUUCGGUAGUAGAAUUCUCGCCUUCUGUGUGGGAGACCUGGGUUAGAUUCCCAGCCAAUACA
This 71-nucleotide transfer RNA is filed under the name Loxodonta africana (African savanna elephant). It matches the Rfam family "tRNA". Rfam says of the family: Transfer RNA (tRNA) molecules are approximately 80 nucleotides in length. Their secondary structure includes four short double-helical elements and three loops (D, anti-codon, and T loops). Lineage: Eukaryota; Metazoa; Chordata; Mammalia; Proboscidea; Elephantidae. The record is from Rfam by way of RNAcentral.